ACCUUGAUAAUUUUAAUACCAAGUGUUAAAUAAAUUAAUUCAUAAAAUAAAAUUUCCUAAGGCAAGGAGAUUCUAUUUUCUUUCAAAAAAAAUUUAAUCCACUUAUGGGGGUAAAAAGAUUUUUAAAUGCAUAUCACAUAUACAUAUUUAUACAAAUAUACACAUAUGAUUAUUAAAGAUUCAAUAAGGCUUUGUAGCCUUAACCAUGUAUAUGUUGGAGGUUUUAUUUGGGUCAUUCUUUUUGGGACUUAAAAUCGCGUGUGCUGGAGCAUUUAAACUCAUGUGAAGUAUUGUCCAAAAGUUUGAAAGUUUGAAAAACAAAACCAUGUGCCUUGACCAAAUUAAACUCUCUCUCUUUGGAAGACAAAAUUUUUGAUGGCUAAAAUGGUUUCGGAAAUAGUUUGGCAAUCUGUGUGCUAUGUUGCAUAAAAUUUUCAUUCGAUCCAUUAAAAUUAAAUUGAACUAAUCUCAGCCUUUCAUUUCAAAACUGAUUUCCAAAAUUACUAUUUUAUCCCCAACUUCAAAAACCUAUAAAUAGAGGAGUCUUUCAUUCAAUUGGUUUUAGCCAAUUCACUUGAAAAGAAAAGCUUACUCUCAUUGCCUACAUACUCUCUCUAAGCUUUCUAUUUUUUUUACCAAAGUUUUGAGUAUUUGAGAAG
Molecule: long non-coding RNA, 659 nt
Filed under: Panax ginseng (ginseng)
Lineage: Eukaryota; Viridiplantae; Streptophyta; Magnoliopsida; Apiales; Araliaceae
Description: long non-coding RNA (PGIN_LNC014805)
Source: RNAcentral